AUGGCGAUGGAGGCUCGGAUGAAGGGGACGGUCAAGUGGUUCAACGACACCAAGGGGUUCGGCUUCAUCACCCCCGCCGACGGCAGCGAGGACCUCUUCGUGCACCAGUCCUCCAUCAAGGCCGACGGCUUCCGCUCGCUGGCCGAGGGCGAGGUGGUCGAGUUCGCCGUCUCGGAGGGCGACGACGGCCGCACCAAGGCCGUCGACGUCACCGGCCCCGACGGAUCCUUCGUGCAGGGCGGCGCGGGCGGCGGCGGAGGAGGUGGAGGCUUCGGAUCCCGCGGCGGCGGCGGAUCUCGCGGCGGCGGGGGCUUCGGCGCCCGCGGCGGGGACGGAUCUGGCGGGUAUGGUGGUGGGUACGGCGGUGGUGGUGGUGGAGGCUGGGGCGGGCAGAGGAGAUCCGGCGGUGGGGGCGCCGGUGGGGCCUGCUUCAAGUGCGGGGAGCCUGGCCACAUGGCCAGGGACUGCUCGGUCAACGGCCCCGCCGGUGGCGGCGGCGGCGGCGGCUGCUACAAGUGCGGGGAGCAAGGCCACAUCUCCCGCGACUGCACCAAGUGA
This 558-nucleotide ribosomal RNA is filed under the name Triticum aestivum (bread wheat). RNAcentral describes it as "partial small subunit ribosomal RNA". Lineage: Eukaryota; Viridiplantae; Streptophyta; Magnoliopsida; Poales; Poaceae. The record is from RNAcentral.